CGUAGUCUGCCAUACGCAGGAAGACCCGCUGAACUGAAGCAUCUCAUUAAGCGGAGGAAAAGAAACUAACUAGGAUUCCCUUAGUAAAGGCGAUCGAAAAGGGAACAGCCCAACGUCUUAAUCCCGCAAGGGAAAUGUAGUCGGUUCACCUAUUGCACUGGUCUAAGUCAGAUGGAAUGCUGCGCGAUUCAGAGUAAAAGCCUCGUAUGACCAACCGCAAGCUUACGAUGGACCGGGGAGAGUCGGAUACUUUGAGAGUAGUGUCUUAAGGGGGUGGUAUGUCCCAUCCAAGGCUAAAUAACGUGAGGAGACCGAUAGAUUACAAGUAGUGUGAACGAAAGAUGAAAAGAACUCUAAAACAGAGGGUGAAAAGUUCCUGAACUUGCUUAGGGUUAAGGCUAUUUAUAGUACCCGUCUUGAAACACGGAUUAGGGAGUUUAUCUGUAGUGCGAGUCUUUGCACGUUAACUGUAAAGGCGUAGAGAAAGCAACUGGCGUUUGCAUGGCUACUGAGCAUUACUGAUAGGACCCGAAAGGUGGUGAACUUUGCCUGCACAGGUUGAAGUCAGGGGAAACUCUGAUGGAGGACCGUACGGGUUAUUGAUGUGCAAAUCAUUUUUCUGAUGUAGGUAAAGGUGCGAAAGACUCAUCGAACCACAUAAUAGCUGGUUUCCUCCGAAGUAUCCCUCAGGAUAGCUGUAAUGCAUUUAGUUAAGGGGAGUAGAGAUAUGGGUAGAGGUGCAGGGAGCCUUCGGGUUCUCAACUUAUUUCCAAACUUCGAACCUCCUUGUUAGGCAUUUACCUAACUGGAAAUGCUUAAAUGAAUUAGCGUUACAAGUGGGCUCUGACCGGUAAGCGGUCAUGGCGAAAUGGGAUGAACCAUACGUCUGAAUAAGGUGCCGAAAUGUACUAUCACUGAUACCAUAAAGGGAGUCCAUGUAUUUAGACAGCAGGUCGGUGCCCCUAAAAGCAGGUAUCCGCUAAAGAGUGUGUUAAAACUCACCUGCCGAAUACUAGGGCCCCGAAAAUGAAUGGCGCAUAUAGUACUACCGAUCUCAGACAUCAGUUCUAUUGAACUGAGAGUAGGGGGAUGUGGACAUUUUUGUGAAGGUGCAAUGUGAGUUGGACUGGAAGAAUGUCUAUUACAGAUCCUAAUUGAAGUAGCGAUUAUCCAGGCUUGUAUCCUGGGGGCUGAUGAGGAGUAGGGUUUCUGGACAACUUAAACAGAUCCAGAGUUAGUCGAUCCUAAUCUCAAUAAUGGGAGAAAGGGAGUACAGUUGAUAUUCUGUAACUGACAACAGUUCGCGGCAACGCAUACUAUUUUUCUCCGCCAAUCUUAUACCGUUGGUAGGGAUCUCUUUCCUACAUGACAGUACUAAUACCCAGGGAAACUGGUCAUCAGGCGAACUGCGGCGUUCUGCUGGCAAAACAUAGCUUCGGUUAUGUCAAUGGCUAUUGGAUUGGUCCAUGAAGCGAAAAAUAGUUUACUGUGUCACUCGUACCGAUAACCGCAUCAGGUCUUCUAGGUAAGUAGCCUA
This 1537-nucleotide ribosomal RNA is filed under the name Trichomonas vaginalis G3. RNAcentral's name for it is "28S ribosomal RNA". It matches the Rfam family "Eukaryotic large subunit ribosomal RNA", at positions 1 to 1883 of the family's 3401-position model. The record is from RNAcentral. Lineage: Eukaryota; Parabasalia; Trichomonadida; Trichomonadidae.